Molecule: unclassified non-coding RNA, 1346 nt
Filed under: Monomorium pharaonis (pharaoh ant)
Lineage: Eukaryota; Metazoa; Arthropoda; Insecta; Hymenoptera; Formicidae
Description: iNO80 complex subunit C, transcript variant X1
Source: RNAcentral
UUUCUCGUUUGCACGUCUCGUAAGAGCUGAUGCAACUUGACGUACGAUGUACGAUCUGUAAUGAAACGGUUUUCUUUUCGUCGAAUGCACGAGCUCGAAACUCCAAACCCCUGAUCCGAUCUACUACGGGUCUGACCACUCUGACCUUGGCGCGCGCGCGCAAAGAAAAUAUCGAAAUGGCGAGCGAGGAAAUAAUCGAAGCUAAUAAAAAGCCGCAACCCGUGUUUAAAAAUCGCUCCUUUCAACAGAAAUUUCGACAGACUAGCACCACUGGGAAAAAACGUACUUGGCGGUCAUUGAAACAAGUUUUGGCUCAGGAACGUUCGUUACCAUGGCCAGCGACAGUAAAACACUAUAGUUCCAUCAAUGCACCACCAAGCUUCAAACCUGCAAAAAAGUACUCUGAUAUUUCCGGAUUACCAGCACGAUACACAGAUCCGCAAACUAAAUUGUAUUAUGCCACCGCUGAAGAAUUUGCAACGGUUCGCAGUUUGCCGAUGGAUAUAACAGCUGGAUAUUUGGCAUUACGUGGAGCGUCUAGUAUCGUUGGUUAAAAUUCGGACGAUGUGGCCUUGCAUUCACGUCGUACAUCAUGGUCCAUGUACAGUCCAGUAACGCAACAUUCAGGGCCAACACAAAUUCGUCAAGAGACAAAUGAAUCAGUUUAAUAGAGAAAAAACUAUGUAAUAAACCUAUAAAUAAUCAAAGAGCAAACAUAUUUACUAUACAUAUGUUGACAUCGAAAUAAAACACAUUACGAAUUCAGCAACAUGAUUACUUAUACAGGCAAUCAGUUGAGGACAUUUAAAAAAGGAAAUGUUAGCAAUAAUAAUACAUUAUAUUGUUUGCAAUAUAACAGCAACAUGACAAUAACAAAUGAUUGAUAACAAAUUAAUGACAUAUUGCUACCAAUUUGCCAUUGUUAAAAAUAGAAUUCAUGAUUUGAACCUAACAGACAUAAUGCUGUUUCAAUUUGUUCAGAGUUUGUCUAAAUUAGUUACUGUAUGAUUGUUGGCAACAUAACUGCACCAUCAAGACAUUUGGAUAUCUCAGAAUGCAGCCAAGAUCAGCUAUUCGACCUGCAGUGGAACCACGACCUUGGUGCUGAAUGUAAUUUUCUUAUAAUUUUUACCACUUCCAGCUCAUCUAAACUACGCACCUACACUUUUAUCAGCCUUGAAACGUUCUAGCUAAAUAUCGGUGCUCGGAAGCAUUUAAAAUUUUUUCUUUUUUUUGUAUAUCCUUGUCCUUUCCUUCAUUCUUAUUAUUUUUGUAUUACUAUUCUUUAUUAGUGCGAGCAUUAACGAGUGUGCAAAAUAAAGUGUUGCCUCACAAUUUUCGCUGUA